CUACGGGAUGCAGCAGUGAGGAAUAUUGCACAAUGGGGGGAACCCUGAUGCAGCAACGCCGCGUGGAGGAUGACACAUUUCGGUGCGUAAACUCCUUUUAUAUAAGAAGAUAAUGACGGUAUUAUAUGAAUAAGCACCGGCUAACUCCGUGCCAGCAGCCGCGGUAAUACGGGGGGUGCAAGCGUUACUCGGAAUCACUGGGCGUAAAGAGCAUGUAGGCUGGUUAGUAAGUUGGAAGUGAAAUCCUAUGGCUUAACCAUAGAACUGCUUCCAAAACUACUAACCUAGAAUAUGGGAGAGGUAGAUGGAAUUUCUGGUGUAGGGGUAAAAUCCGUAGAGAUCAGAAGGAAUACCGAUUGCGAAGGCGAUCUACUGAAACAUUAUUGACGCUCAGAUGCGAAAGCGUGGGGAGCAAACAGGAUUAGAUACCCCAGUAGUC
Molecule: ribosomal RNA, 439 nt
Filed under: uncultured bacterium
Lineage: Bacteria
Description: partial 16S ribosomal RNA
Rfam family: Bacterial small subunit ribosomal RNA
Source: RNAcentral